RNAcentral lists this ribosomal RNA (471 nucleotides) under uncultured bacterium. Its description in RNAcentral is "bacterial SSU rRNA". It matches the Rfam family "Bacterial small subunit ribosomal RNA", at positions 328 to 793 of the family's 1533-position model. The record is from RNAcentral.
GGAGAGCACUCCUACGGGAGGCAGCAGUGGGGAAUAUUGCACAAUGGGCGCAAGCCUGAUGCAGCCAUGCCGCGUGUAUGAAGAAGGCCUUCGGGUUGUAAAGUACUUUCAGCAGUGAGGAAGGUGGAUAUGUAAUAGCAUAUUCAUUUGACGUUAGCUGCAGAAGAAGCACCGGCUAACUCCGUGCCAGCAGCCGCGGUAAUACGGAGGGUGCGAGCGUUAAUCGGAAUUACUGGGCGUAAAGCGCAUGCAGGUGGUUUGUUAAGUCAGAUGUGAAAGCCCGGGGCUCAACCUCGGAAUUGCAUUUGAAACUGGCAAACUAGAGUACUGUAGAGGGGGUAGAAUUUCAGGUGUAGCGGUGAAAUGCGUAGAGAUCUGAAGGAAUACCGGUGGCGAAGGCGGCCCCCUGGACAGAUACUGACACUCAGAUGCGAAAGCGUGGGGAGCAAACAGGAUUAGAUACCCUGGUAG